Molecule: long non-coding RNA, 1132 nt
Filed under: Fragaria vesca (wild strawberry)
Lineage: Eukaryota; Viridiplantae; Streptophyta; Magnoliopsida; Rosales; Rosaceae
Description: long non-coding RNA (FVES_LNC004769)
Source: RNAcentral
UCAUAUAACUCUACUUGUUGAGUUAUUAAUCAAGUGGAUUGCUUACCACCUUAAUUGACUACAUAUUGUCGAUGAUCUUUUGUGGCAUCAUGAUCCAUAUCUUUAGCGGAUUCAAUCAUCAUCAAGUUCUCUAGGUCCUCCAAGUUGGUGUGGAAUUACCAACGAGACUUGAUUUUGAUCAUACAAACAGGAAUUGUAUAUACGCUAAUGUGAUAAACUUAUUUGGGAUUAUCCCCUAAUGUGGGGACAACAAUAUGGGUCAUGGCAACGACAGAAAACGUCGUGCCGAUGUCUAGAAAAGAGGGGAAGGUGUUGCUGGCUCUAAUAGCGACACUCCCGGUCUAGACACCAUUUUGUCAAAACUACUAACGUCAGCUCAUGACAUAAAUGCAACUGUUGUGGAUCUUCGGAUCACUGGUUCAAGAUUGUCAAGCUCCUUUAAAUUGUGAAUGCAUACAAAAAGGUAUGGAAAAUCAAUAUGAGGACAAGAACGUCAUCCUCAUAAUCGCGAAUUUCAAAGAUUCGGAUCCUACUCUAGCUACCCAUGACUUUGAUGUCAUCGGCUAGACAUUGAUUUUCGUUCCAAGUUAUAUGUACUAAGGCAUUGUAUCGACGUCCUUUGUCUAUUUGAGACCUCGAUGUAUUAGCAAUAAUGAAUGCCUUGAGAAUUUUUCGAAGUGAAACUAUUCUCCUCUUAUGGUUCAUAUUGAUUUACAAUCAAGAUGUACACUUACAUCGUCCUUAGAAACAUGGCAUAUUAUGCCGAUUUUGGUCCUUUCCUUUGAAGGUGACUCAUGGCACUGCAUCCUCAAGGAGGAUCGCCCAUGUGUUUCCGGUUAAGUCUUCUACCCUAUAGCAGAUUUUUCAUCAUCAAUUGUUCAACUAGGCUCAUCCAAGCUCAGUGUGAUGUCUUAGAAUUGUCCGAAAUUAAGGAGAUAGUGGUUUUAAGUGUGCCUCGCACUACCGACCCUCCACGGACAUGCCUGGUCAUACUGACUUGGAGUUACCGAAAGCUUUUGAUUUUGGAUCCCCCUACGCUAUUAACCAAUUGCCGUCUUGCAAAGACGUUGAAGACUUAUCAAAGCUGGAAAAUUAUCAUCAUAAUCGGAUCCUCUAGGUCCUCUGAGUUAGU